ACAUACAAUUAAAAGCGUGUAUCGAUAUGAUGUGUUGGAAAAAAUGCUCGAGUUAUAAGUAUGAUUGUUAAACAACAUUUUAACGAGGUUUUUUUUUCGUUAUUCGUAAAUUAAUCUGGCUCUGAGUCAGCUGUAAAGUUUUGUAAAUCUAAACCGAAUCAGAGAAGCGAGAUUAUAACCGUCAUCGUGUCAAGAUGUUACUGUACCUCAAGGACCUGAAGCGGCAUACUGAUAGUGAUACGGCCUGUACAAAAUAUGUAACGUACAACCGGAUGAGGAAAAUUUAAAUAUAUCACAUCGACGUAUCUUCAUCGAACUAAUUUUAUGUACACUGUUGCUGACUCUUGCACCAUUUAUGAUUUACAGUAAAAUGAGGAAAUGGUUAGAAUUUGACAUGACAUCGCUGUUACAAGUUACACGACGAGUGUUUUGA
Molecule: long non-coding RNA, 433 nt
Organism: Bradysia coprophila
Lineage: Eukaryota; Metazoa; Arthropoda; Insecta; Diptera; Sciaridae
Source: RefSeq, a predicted model, not a curated record